This 301-nucleotide ribosomal RNA is filed under the name uncultured bacterium. Its description in RNAcentral is "partial 16S ribosomal RNA". It matches the Rfam family "Bacterial small subunit ribosomal RNA", at positions 509 to 807 of the family's 1533-position model. The record is from RNAcentral.
CAGCAGCCGCGGUAAAACGUAGGGUGCAAGCGUUAAUCGGAAUUACUGGGCGUAAAGCGUGCGCAGGCGGUUUGUUAAGACAGAUGUGAAAUCCCCGGGCUUAACCUGGGAACUGCAUUUGUGACUGUAGAGCUGGAGUACGGCAGAGGGGGAUGGAAUUCCGCGUGUAGCAGUGAAAUGCGUAGAUAUGCGGAGGAACACCGAUGGCGAAGGCAAUCCCCUGGGCCCGUACUGACGCUCAUGCACGAAAGCGUGGGGAGCAAACAGGAUUAGAUACCCCGGUAGUCCCUGUCUCUUAUAC